CUCUUAUGGAGAGUUUGAUCCUGGCUCAGGACGAACGCUGGCGGCAUGCCUAAUACAUGCAAGUCGAGCGAACUGUUGGAAGCUUGCUUCCUUCAGUUAGCGGCGGACGGGUGAGUAACACGUGGGCAACCUGCC
RNAcentral lists this ribosomal RNA (135 nucleotides) under Sporosarcina sp. P7. Its description in RNAcentral is "partial 16S ribosomal RNA". It matches the Rfam family "Bacterial small subunit ribosomal RNA", at positions 1 to 130 of the family's 1533-position model. Lineage: Bacteria; Bacillati; Bacillota; Bacilli; Caryophanales; Caryophanaceae. The record is from RNAcentral.